This 557-nucleotide ribosomal RNA is filed under the name Lacticaseibacillus paracasei. Its description in RNAcentral is "bacterial SSU rRNA". It matches the Rfam family "Bacterial small subunit ribosomal RNA", at positions 868 to 1426 of the family's 1533-position model. The record is from RNAcentral. Lineage: Bacteria; Bacillati; Bacillota; Bacilli; Lactobacillales; Lactobacillaceae.
UCCGCCUGGGGAGUACGACCGCAAGGUUGAAACUCAAAGGAAUUGACGGGGGCCCGCACAAGCGGUGGAGCAUGUGGUUUAAUUCGAAGCAACGCGAAGAACCUUACCAGGUCUUGACAUCUUUUGAUCACCUGAGAGAUCAGGUUUCCCCUUCGGGGGCAAAAUGACAGGUGGUGCAUGGUUGUCGUCAGCUCGUGUCGUGAGAUGUUGGGUUAAGUCCCGCAACGAGCGCAACCCUUAUGACUAGUUGCCAGCAUUUAGUUGGGCACUCUAGUAAGACUGCCGGUGACAAACCGGAGGAAGGUGGGGAUGACGUCAAAUCAUCAUGCCCCUUAUGACCUGGGCUACACACGUGCUACAAUGGAUGGUACAACGAGUUGCGAGACCGCGAGGUCAAGCUAAUCUCUUAAAGCCAUUCUCAGUUCGGACUGUAGGCUGCAACUCGCCUACACGAAGUCGGAAUCGCUAGUAAUCGCGGAUCAGCACGCCGCGGUGAAUACGUUCCCGGGCCUUGUACACACCGCCCGUCACACCAUGAGAGUUUGUAACACCCGAAG